GAUAAACGCUGGCGGCGUGCUUAACACAUGCAAGUCGAACGAAGUUUUUCUUUCGGGAGGAACUUAGUGGCGGACGGGUGAGUAACGCGUGGGUAACCUGCCCUGUACAGGGGGACAACAGCUGGAAACGGCUGCUAAUACCGCAUAAGCCCUUAGCACUGCAUGGUGCAUAGGGAAAAGGAGCAAUCCGGUACAGGAUGGACCCGCGUCUGAUUAGCCAGUUGGCAGGGUAACGGCCUACCAAAGCGACGAUCAGUAGCCGAUCUGAGAGGAUGUACGGCCACAUUGGGACUGAGACACGGCCCAGACUCCCACGGGAAGCAGCAGUGGGGAAUAUUGCACAAUGGAGGAAACUCUGAUGCAGCGACGCCGCGUGAGUGAAGAAGUAUUUCGGUAUGUAAAGCUCUAUCAGCAGGAAAGAAAAUGACGGUACCUGACUAAGAAGCACCGGCUAAAUACGUG
Molecule: ribosomal RNA, 462 nt
Filed under: uncultured bacterium
Lineage: Bacteria
Description: partial 16S ribosomal RNA
Rfam family: Bacterial small subunit ribosomal RNA
Source: RNAcentral